UACAGAGGGGGCAAGCGUUGUUCGGAAUUACUGGGCGUAAAGGGCGCGUAGGCGGCCUGUUAAGUCGAACGUGAAAUCCCCGGGCUCAACCCGGGAACUGCGUCCGAUACUGGCAGGCUUGAAUCCGGGAGAGGGAUGCGGAAUUCCAGGUGUAGCGGUGAAAUGCGUAGAUAUCAGGAGGAACACCGGUGGCGAAGGCGGGUCUCUGGGCCGAAACUGACGCUGAGGAGCGAAAGCGUGGGGAGCAAACAGG
Molecule: ribosomal RNA, 253 nt
Filed under: uncultured bacterium
Lineage: Bacteria
Description: partial 16S ribosomal RNA
Rfam family: Bacterial small subunit ribosomal RNA
Source: RNAcentral